UAGUGGCGGACGGGUGAGUAACGCGUGAGCAAUCUGCCUUACAGAGGGGGAUAACAGCUGGAAACGGCUGCUAAUACCGCAUGAUAUGCACCGGGGACAUCCUCAGAGCAUCAAAGAUUUAUCGCUGUAAGAUGAGCUCGCGUCCAAUUAGAUAGUUGGCGGGGUAAAGGCCCACCAAGUCGACGAUUGGUAGCCGGACUGAGAGGUUGAACGGCCACAUUGGGACUGAGAUACGGCCCAGACUCCUACGGGAGGCAGCAGUGGGGGAUAUUGCACAAUGGGGGAAACCCUGAUGCAGCAACGCCGCGUGAAGGAAGAAGGUCUUCGGAUUGUAAACUUUUGUCUUGCGGGACGAAUAAUGACGGUACCGCAGGAGGAAGCCACGGCUAACUACGUGCCAGCAGCCGCGGUAAUACGUAGGUGGCGAGCGUUGUCCGGAAUUACUGGGUGUAAAGGGUGCGUAGGCGGAUUUGCAAGUCAGGUGUGAAAACUAUCGGCUUAACCGGUAGCCUGCACUUGAAACUGUAAGUCUUGAGUGGUGAAGAGGUAAGCGGAAUUCCUAGUGUAGCGGUGAAAUGCGUAGAUAUUAGGAGGAACACCAGUGGCGAAGGCGGCUUACUGGGCACUAACUGACGCUGAGGCACGAAAGCAUGGGGAGCAAACAGGAUUAGAUACCCUGGUAGUCCAUGCCGUAAACGAUGAUUACUAGGUGUAGGGGGUAUCGACCCCCCCUGUGCCGCAGUUAACACAAUAAGUAAUCCACCUGGGGAGUACGGCCGCAAGGUUGAAACUCAAAGGAAUUGACGGGGGCCCGCACAAGCAGUGGAGUAUGUGGUUUAAUUCGAAGCAACGCGAAGAACCUUACCAGGUCUUGACAUCCAACUAACGAGGCAGAGAUGCGUUAGGUGCCCUUCGGGGAAAGUUGAGACAGGUGGUGCAUGGUUGUCGUCAGCUCGUGUCGUGAGAUGUUGGGUUAAGUCCCGCAACGAGCGCAACCCUUAUUGUUAGUUGCUACGCAAGAGCACUCUAACGAGACUGCCGUUGACAAAACGGAGGAAGGUGGGGACGACGUCAAAUCAUCAUGCCCUUUAUGACCUGGGCUACACACGUACUACAAUGGCGAUCAACAGAGGGAUGCAAGACCGCGAGGUGGAGCUAACCCCUAAAAGUCGUCUCAGUUCGGAUUGCAGGCUGCAACUCGCCUGCAUGAAGUCGGAAUUGCUAGUAAUCGCGGAUCAUCAUGCCGCGGUGAAUACGUUCCCGGGCCUUGUACACACCGCCCGUCUCACCAUGAGAGUUGGGAACACCCGAAGCCUGUGAGCUAACCGCAAGG
Molecule: ribosomal RNA, 1333 nt
Filed under: uncultured Clostridium sp.
Lineage: Bacteria; Bacillati; Bacillota; Clostridia; Eubacteriales; Clostridiaceae
Description: 16S ribosomal RNA
Rfam family: Bacterial small subunit ribosomal RNA
Source: RNAcentral